AUCCCAUGAUGAGGCCACUUACAAAAUAAUUCUGUGAAUCUCUCUCAUGCCUCAUACAAAGAUUCGUUAUUGUUGAAAAGUGGUUAUCUCAUUUCACAAUUU
Gossypium raimondii (Peruvian cotton) is the source of this 102-nucleotide non-coding RNA. Lineage: Eukaryota; Viridiplantae; Streptophyta; Magnoliopsida; Malvales; Malvaceae. The record is from Rfam.